GUCACCAGAGAUGCAUGAUACAGUAAUUCUGUUUACACGCCACAACACAUGAUUUUACAUUUGAUUAAAUUCCAAGAAAGGAAAACCUAUACCAUAAAAACAUCAAAAGCUCAAACCUUACACAGAACUCCUACCGGCUGCACUCUUCGAUAAAUUCAUCAAAACAGGCAAAAUGAUCAGCUCUAAUCAAGUUCUCUUAUAAACUGAAACAUCAGGGCAAGGAAAGUGUACGUAAUUCACUUAAUCUGAUAUGCUUCACCUACAAUAACCUCUUCACAUUCACAUCAUAAUAAUCCUAAGCGGCAAUUCCUCUAUUUGCUUGUCUAUUGGCAACACUAUAACCAUCAGUAUAACCAGCAGCAAUUUUAGUCACACCAUCUGUAGCUGCAUUUCCAAGCCCGAAACCAAAUGAGCCAGAACCCUCUAGCCCCAAAGGUGAAGAUCGCCAUGCAGAAUCCCCAUACAACAAGCCAUUAUCAUAAAUAUCUGCACAAGGUACAUCAUGAUCAUCAUGUGAUGCAGCAUGAGAUGAAACUAGCGCAGCACUUGUCCCACUGUUUCUUCCAUAUCCUACCCCUCCAAGACCAACAUUGAAAUCUCCCCAAUUGUAGCUAAGACUGCCUCUGCCAUAGGCAGAGCCAGUACCUCCACCUUGUCCAGAAUUAACCGAGGAUCCCCAGAGUCUGCCAAUACUGCCAAAAGAACCCAUUCCUGAAUUCCCAGUUCCAGAGCCCACAACAGUACUAGAAUUUGUGGAGUCUGAAGCAUGAUUAAUACUUCCAUUACUCCAUGAAGUUCGAGCAGUCGAACUUAAGGCAGAAGUAUUUCCACCAUUGACUCCAUUAUAUCCAAUAGGGCUACAAUACCUGCUGGAAUUUCCACUAUAUGAAGGGCUCAAUCUCCCAUAGCCGGUUAAUGUUUGAAUUUCCCCCAUAACUAGGACUCAACCCCGGCUCAAAAUUCAGCCUCAUCCCAGAACCAGGACCAAAUGGAGAAAAGUUACUCUGACCAACAGUAACAGGACUAAACCUACCAUCCAUUCUAACACCAAAUCCUCCAGCAGAACUUGUAUUGUAUUCCUGAGUCUGACUGUAACCAUUCAGGAAGCCACCAACUCUACUUGCACCAUAAUUAUACCCACUUAACUGGCUCCGAGUUGGCCCUGGUGAUAGUUCUUUAGGGACAGCCCGCUUGACCUCAACAAUUUUACCAUUGAGUUCAUGAAAGGUUUUGUGCAACACUUUAUCCACAGCUUCCUCUGAAUCGUAAGUAAUAAAUCCAAAACCUCUUGGCCUUAGAGUGUUGUGGUCAUACAUAACCACAACAUCUGUAAUUAUCCCAAACUGAUCAAAGUACUUCUUAAAGUCCGUCUCUGUGACUGUAGAUGCUAAACCUCCUACAAAUAUCUUCUUUGUACAAGCUGGACCAGGUGAACCAUGUAUGCUGCUGCCGCUGUUUCUAUUCAGAAUGUUUUGAUCCUCCCUAGGAACUGCCUUCUUUGCUUCAACAUUUCUACCGUCUAUGAGAUGCUUUUGCAUCACAACUCUUUCAGCAACAGAAGGGUCUGCAAAAACAACAAAUCCGAAGCCACGGGCACGACCAGUAGCCCGAUCCUUCAUUAUCACAGCCUCCACAACUUCACCAAAAGACUGAAAAUACUGUCUAAGACGGUCUUCAUUUGUGUCCCAUGAAAUCCCACCAAUGAAUAACUUUCCAAGCUCCAUUUCCAUUUCUCCUCAAAAGAAAUAAAACAAAGCUUGGAUAUUUACAGGUAUUUA
Molecule: unclassified non-coding RNA, 1778 nt
Filed under: Hevea brasiliensis (rubber tree)
Lineage: Eukaryota; Viridiplantae; Streptophyta; Magnoliopsida; Malpighiales; Euphorbiaceae
Source: RNAcentral